Long non-coding RNA from Anguilla anguilla (European eel), 1231 nucleotides. RefSeq lists it as uncharacterized. The transcript is spliced from 2 exons. Lineage: Eukaryota; Metazoa; Chordata; Actinopteri; Anguilliformes; Anguillidae. The record is from RefSeq and is a predicted model, not a curated record.
GCUCUCUGUCCUGCUCUUUCACUCCCUCUCUCUCUCUUUCUGUCGCUCUCUCCCUCUCUCGCCCUCUCCCACUUGGCAGCGGUGCCGAAGUGGGCAGGGAUAAAGGAGAGAGAGCCGUUCGCAGGGCAGAGCCGAGGCCGUGGAGCUGUCCGGCUGUGGAGCCACAGCCCCUUUGCUGGAGCGCGUUUGGUUUUGCGAUCGCGCCCCUCAGUCUUUCUCUCGCGCUGCUGACUAACGGCGGCACACGCGCGUGCGACUCCGCCGCCGCCGCCGCCGCCAUCGGCCCCGCACCCCCAAAAACGGGCUCCAGAGUUCCUGUUCGUCUUCUCUCGAGCGAUCGCGCAGUAGAUGCUGUCCUUGGGGCUGAGGUAGUAGAUUGGAUAGUUGUGGGGUAUGUGCCCUCCCUCUGAGAUAACUAUGCAAUCUACUGUCUUUCCUAAGGAGACAGGCACAUCUUCCGUCGGAAAGAGAGUUACCACACUGCCUGCGAGCGGAGAAACGAAAAGCCAUUUCCUCCUGAAUCCACUCCUUUAUGAUAUUACCCCACCUGCCCUCUAAGCCCAGCCAUCACAGCUUCAGCUCAAAUAUGGUCACGCAGCCCUUUAUCCACUACAGGUACAAAUAUGUUUUGAAUGCUAGACACACUCCAUCAGGAGGCACUGUCUUUGUUUUACAAAUGGUUGUAUUUUUGACACACUGAAUGAGUAAUUCAGGGGGACAGUUGUUCAGCUGGUUAGCCCUGCAUUACAGGGUUCACAGUCCGUAGACAAGGGUAUGCAUCCCUGCCGGAGGAGUUUGGCUGCGGCCUACAUGCUGGAGGCCUGCCGUGCCCUUUCGAGGUGAGGUAGUAGGUUGUAUAGUUUGUUGGGUGGGAUCGCACCCUAUUCAGGUGAUAACUAUACAGUCUAUUGCCUUCCUCGAGAGGCACACUGACGACUGCCGGGAAACCAGGAAGCGGAAGAACACCUCAGGGCAAAGCACUGUUUCCCUGGGCGGGCCGUGCGCACGCGUCAAGGUCAAAAGUGGGAAUUUCUUCUGGAACAUUCUUUAGGUAUUUUAACUACCACUGCGAGUACUGUUGCCUCACACAGGUAGCUUCAAGCUUGGGGGCUGAGGGGAAUGAAAUACUGUUGUUGUUUUUUUUGAUUGAUGACAAAUGGUCAUCAGUUAUCAUCUUGCUUAAAUGUAUUGGAUCAGGAGAAAAAUAAAUAAAAAUGGAUUUCAUAAUCUA